This 497-nucleotide ribosomal RNA is filed under the name uncultured bacterium. RNAcentral describes it as "partial 16S ribosomal RNA". It matches the Rfam family "Bacterial small subunit ribosomal RNA", at positions 28 to 507 of the family's 1533-position model. The record is from RNAcentral.
GAUGAACGCUGGCGGCGUGCCUAAUACAUGCAAGUCGAGCGAACGGACGAGAAGCUUGCUUCUCUGAUGUUAGCGGCGGACGGGUGAGAAACACGUGGAUAACCUACCUAUAAGACUGGGAUAACUUCGGGAAACCGGAGCUAAUACCGGAUAAUAUUUUGAACCGCAUGGUUCAAAAGUGAAAGACGGUCUUGCUGUCACUUAUAGAUGGAUCCGCGCUGCAUUAGCUAGUUGGUAAGGUAACGGCUUACCAAGGCAACGAUGCAUAGCCGACCUGAGAGGGUGAUCGGCCACACUGGAACUGAGACACGGUCCAGACUCCUACGGGAGGCAGCAGUAGGGAAUCUUCCGCAAUGGGCGAAAGCCUGACGGAGCAACGCCGCGUGAGUGAUGAAGGUCUUCGGAUCGUAAAACUCUGUUAUUAGGGAAGAACAUAUGUGUAAGUAACUGUGCACAUCUUGACGGUACCUAAUCAGAAAGCCACGGCUAACUACGCG